Molecule: ribosomal RNA, 324 nt
Filed under: uncultured eukaryote
Lineage: Eukaryota
Description: partial 18S ribosomal RNA
Rfam family: Eukaryotic small subunit ribosomal RNA
Source: RNAcentral
CCCUUAGAUGUUCUGGGCCGCACGCGCGCUACACUGAUGCAUCCAACGAGUUUCUUCCUGGUCCGAGAGGAAUGGGUAACCUUUUGAAAGUGCAUCGUGAUAGGGAUAGACUAUUGCAAUUAUUGGUCUUCAACGAGGAAUUCCUAGUAGACGUAGUUCAUCAGACUGCAUCGAUUACGUCCCUGCCCUUUGUACACACCGCCCGUCGCUCCUACCGAUUGAAUGCUCAGGUGAGCCAUUCGGACUUUCAUCAUGCUGGUUUCCAGUUUUGAUGAAGGAAAGUCUUGCGAACCUUAUCAUUUAGAGGAAGGAGAAGUCGUAACA